Molecule: long non-coding RNA, 4211 nt
Filed under: Heterocephalus glaber (naked mole-rat)
Lineage: Eukaryota; Metazoa; Chordata; Mammalia; Rodentia; Bathyergidae
Description: lncRNA (ENSHGLG00100040578.1)
Source: RNAcentral
CCUCAUUAGCUAGCUAAGGUUCAAUACCUGCCACCCACGACUUAAAGGAGGAAAGAUUUCUUUGGCUCACAAUUUCCAGUGGAUUCAGUCCAGAGGUGGCAGACUUUAGGGCAGAAACACAUGGUGGAAGGAAGGUGGCAGCCAGCGAGAAGCAGAGCGAGAAGGAAAGGGCUAGGGGCGGAGAAGACACCCUUCCGGGUCCUAUCCCCAGCCCGGCCCCUUCUGGCCACACCUCACCUUUGCAGUGAGACCUCUGGGGGGUGUCUCGCAGCUGAGCCAUAGCUCCCCUUUUCUGGAUGGUUCCCUGAAUGAUUCUGAUUGUUACCUGAGAUCCUCACCCUGGCCAGGUGUUUCUUACUAAGACUCUGGCCUUGAACAGCUGCAGACCAAGGGUCUGAAGCCAGAAGCCCCCAGCAGCCCUGGCACUCUAUUCCAAAGUUCAGGAUGCACUGAAGAAGGCCAAGAGCUUCUGUGAGUCUCAGGAAUUACAGUUUAUUCAGAGGCUGACUGUGCAGCUGCUGAUUGGAGUACAAAGAGCAGUAAUCAAGAAUUCUCACCCACUGCGGUCUGAGAAGCAUGGCCUUUUCCUGGAGUCUGGAAGCACAGCGGUGUCUCAGGAGUUUGCGAUGUCACUCUGGGACGGACCCGGACCGAGAGUCUCAAGGUCACUGGUCAGGCCAGGGAAACCACGUGAGGUCUCAGCUGCAGCGAAGAACGUGUAUCCUGACGAUGUUACCCAGGACUGGACAACGACCCAGGGCAGGUCCAUGGGCUCACCGGAUAGGUGGUAGUGUACAGAAAAUGAAUGAAGGUGGACCCUUUGGAGAAGUUAAUACCACCCUCAAAGACUUAACAGGUGUGGGUCAGUGUCCCCAGGACAUCUCCAUUAGCUCACCCUAUGGAAGUAGCAGGAUAUGACUCCACUGUAAGUUUAGGAACAUCUUCCCUGGCAAAUAGGAGCCCUACAUUUCUACUUCUGGAAGUAACAGCCAAGACCCUCCCAGAGGACUCAGCUCCUGCAGAACAACCACAAAAUCUGAACAGGACACAGAAGCAACUACCCGCAGCGCUGGGGAACAGCAGGGGCAGAUGGCUUUGCAGAGGUGGCGAACCUGUGUAAGACCGAGGGCCUUACCAAACGCUCUGAGGAGCUGACUGCAGGGAAGAACACCUGGGAAGGAACACACCGGACAAGUUGGAAAGUAAAACAGACCUUAGUCUGGCCAGACUGCACUCCCAAAGCAAAGUAGCUUAGAGAGGCGACUAGCCCAGAGUCCAAGGCUCUUUUUUGCAGGGGAAGUUAACAGGCGAAAUUUACAGAAGAGGAACAAAGGUUAGUGGUCAGCUGACACGUACUGAUGGUCAGCAGAUGUUUGUAGAUUGUUCUAUAGAUAGCGGUGUCCGGAACAUCAGUUUCGAACAAAGAGUUGAGUAAUUUACUUUGGGACCUUAUGGCUGAUACAGAUCUUAUCUAGUGUCCUGGAACUAACAAGCAUCUUUAUCUAUUUACUCACAUUUACAGUUGGGGCUAGGGGAGUUUUAUGAUUACAGAGUUAUGCAGUCCCCCACCUGUGGCACGCAUGCCACAGUGGGCCAUGUGUUAUUACCAAAAGCUCUAAAAGGUUCACCAUCACUGGCUCCUAGUGAAGACCGUGAGCUGUCGGGAGGGAGAGGAGGGUCACAACUCAGUCAGUCCCCAUGCCCAGGUCUUAGCUGGAGGCCAAGAGAAGCCUGCACUCGGUGCACACGGCAAUACCAGGGACAGACACGAAAAACACCUGCAGCCUGAUUUUUUCUGAAAAAUCAGAAAAGUGGACACUUAAAAGAGAAAGAGACGCUUACAAGGGGAAAAGAGAGAAGAUCCCAACUCAGCCUUCCCACGUCUCUGACUGAACCCUGACCCAAGUACCAUGGAGCAGACACAAAAUGGCUCAGCUGAAGACAGCAGCAACCACAGAAAUUCCAAACCGAGACUUCCAUCCAAGAAAAAGAGUGUGCGUUCAGGUCGAGCGGAGACUGAUAUCUGCUAACACAGAGGAAAAAGACUCCUUAGAGAAAAGAAAAAUCCAGAAUCUCCACAAACUAACUUUCAUAAUACUCAGGACACAAUCCAAAAUUACACGAUAUGGAAAAAAAAAAACUAGGAAACAUUCUUAACAGAAAAAAAUUCAACCAAGCCCAACCUUAUAAUGAACCAGAUGUUGGACCUAACAGAAAAGGAUUUUGAAUUUGCUCUUCUAACUCCCCUCAGGGAAAGAGCACAACCAUGAUUUCAAGGACUACAAACACCAGCAGAGAAAUGAAAGUCUGAACAAGGAAACAGAAACAGCAAAGAGGAAACAAAUAGAAACAAAGAACCAAACUUAAAAAAAUACAAUUUCGUAAAUAAGAAUUCACUUACUAGACUAAAAACUGAAUGACUGUGAUGGAUGAAAGAAUAAGAAAACGUGAAGAUCGAUCCACAGAAAUACACUAGGUGAAGAGGGGAGCAGAGAGGGAGAGGGAGGGGCAAGGACUGGAAAGAACCAGACCCUUAGUGAGCUGUGAGAUGACAUCAAAUGGUAAGUUAUAUGUGUAACUGGAACACCAGAAUAAGAGGGGAGAAAGAACAGAAAAGAAACGCUUGAAGGAAUAACAACUGAAAGUUUCCCAAAUUGGUCGAAAGACCAAAAGCUGCAGAUACGAGACAUAUUUCACAGAAGGAGGCCAACGUCAAGGCACAUCUGCUGGAAGCCGCUGUGGUCCAAGUGUGUCCCGAACAGGCUUUCUGUUGGAAAUGCAUUUGCCAGUGUGAUUAUGUUAAGAGGUGCAGCCUUUAGGAGGUGAUUCAGUCACGAAGGUGAAGCCCUCAGGGAUGACAUGAGGACCCUUACAAGAGUCCACUGGGUUUGUCCCCAUCGAUCUCUUCUGCCCUGUGACAACACAGUGUUUGCCACCUUUAUCAUUCUGUCUUCUACCAGGUAGGGGAACAGCAACAAGAUGCCUCCUGGAAGCAAGGAACAGACGCACAUGCCCCAAACCUGUACCUUGAUACAGAAGAACAACAAUCCAGUGUCAGCUGACUUUUCUCUAAAAACCAAGGAAAGCCAAAGAGAGUACAGCAACAUUUUUACAGUCCUGAAAUCAAAACAACAUCAAAAACAAAAAACCACCUGUCAACUCAGAGAAACUAUCACUUAAGAAUAAAUGUGUGGGCUGGUGUUCAGCUCAGUGACACAGCAAGUGCUUAGCACGUAUGGAGCCCUGGGUUCAAUUCCCAGUAACCCCACCUCCAAAGGCAAAAUAGAGAGAGACGUUUCAUUUAAAAGAAAAUUUAGAGGAUUGUUCACCAGCAAAUUGCCACUCUAAGAAAUGCUAAAAGAAAUUUCUUCAGAGGAAAAUUGAUACCAGUCAGAAUUCCAAGAUUUUCAGAAAACAAUGAAAAACAGGAAUGUAAAUACUUCGAUCAAUGCAAAAGAAGUUAUUUUGCCUUUUUCCCUUUACCUUUGUUUUCAUAAACAAUAACUGUUCAAAAAUUGUAAUAUGGUCUUUGUGGGUAUAAACCAACAGAAUUGUGACAUGCUGGUAUGCUCAUCAGACAGACCACAUUUGCUGGCCAUAAAACCCACCUCAAUACAUUUGAAAAGUUUGAAGUCCUGUAGGCCAAGUGCUCUGACCACAGAGGGAUUAAAUUAGAAACCAGUUACAAAGAGAAAACCAGGAAGAUUCCAAAUAUUUGGAAUUUAGUACACUUCUAAAUAAUUAUUGGGCCAAAGAGGAUUCCCAGGAAGUAUUAGAAAAUAUGUUAUUUAUAUAUAAAUAUGGUAAUGAAAAUAUACAUGUCAAAAUUUGUGGGAUAUAGACAAGGCAGAGCGUACAGGGGAAUUUAUAACUUUAAAUGUUUAUGUAGGAAAAGGAAGGUCUAAAAGUCAACCUAACCCCAAAGCCUAAAAUAGUACAAGAUAGCAUAAAAAGAAAUGGAAGUUAUACACAAAGCAAACAAAAAGAAGGAAAGAACUGAACAGAAAUCAAUAAAAUAGAAAAACAAUAACCGUGAAAGCUCUUUUUAUGUUUCUUUUUGGACCCGAAUUGAAUCUAAGGCGUCACACAUGCUAGGCAAGCUCUACCACUGAGCUACACCCCCAGGCUUUUUAUCUUGAGAUAGGAUCUCUCUAAAUUGCCCAGGCUGGCCUUGAACUUGCUGCACUGCACUGCUCCUGAGGAGCUGGGAC